This 440-nucleotide ribosomal RNA is filed under the name uncultured bacterium. RNAcentral's name for it is "bacterial SSU rRNA". It matches the Rfam family "Bacterial small subunit ribosomal RNA", at positions 339 to 796 of the family's 1533-position model. The record is from RNAcentral.
CUACGGGAGGCAGCAGUGGGGAAUUUUGGACAAUGGGGGCAACCCUGAUCCAGCCAUUCCGCGUGAGUGAAGAAGGCCCUAGGGUUGUAAAGCUCUUUCAUCGGGGAAGAUAAUGACGGUACCCGAAGAAGAAGCCCCGGCUAACUCCGUGCCAGCAGCCGCGGUAAGACGGAGGGGGCUAGCGUUGUUCGGAAUUACUGGGCGUAAAGCGUGCGUAGGCGGCCGAUCAAGUUGGGUGUGAAAGCCCGGGGCUCAACCCCGGAACUGCAUUCAAAACUGAUUGGCUAGAGUUCGGGAGAGGUAAGUGGAAUUCCCAGUGUAGAGGUGAAAUUCGUAGAUAUUGGGAAGAACACCAGUGGCGAAGGCGGCUUACUGGCCCGAAACUGACGCUGAGGUACGAAAGCGUGGGGAGCAAACAGGAUUAGAAACCCGAGUAGUCC